CUCAGGUGAUCUGAACACAAUAAUUGUUCCAAAUAUAGGGGCCAAGAGAUCAAAUCAAAAUAACAACUAGAAAAGAUUGAGAAUAAUUUUGACAAGGAAGAAAUAAAUAGAAUCAUGAAACACCAUGGCCACUUAACAUGGUUAUUACUACAGAAAAAAGAACAUUUGUUGGGGAGAAGGUUAACUUCUCAAUCCGUCGCACAAAUACACAAAACAAGAGGGGUUGGAAAAAAACUCGUGUUGCAAAGCAGUUGGCUAUCCUGAUAGAAACAUUACUUUACCCUAAUACAUUGAAGCGGAGGUAAAAAAGAGACGGAACUCUACACAAGCAUCCUUGUGUUCCAGACCUAUAUAGCAAAUGACUAGCGAAUGAGCACAUAUCAGUGCCUGGUUCUCCUUCCAAUUUCCAAUAAGCAUUUGGUUGACGUUAAAUUUUCAAAGAUUUUAGUUCCAAUAUAUGCAAUGUCAUAAAGAACGCUCCAAAAGAGUAAAAAAGAAGGCUACCCUUUGAAUUGAUCCUCCCGAAA
This 527-nucleotide unclassified non-coding RNA is filed under the name Hevea brasiliensis (rubber tree). Lineage: Eukaryota; Viridiplantae; Streptophyta; Magnoliopsida; Malpighiales; Euphorbiaceae. The record is from RNAcentral.